CAAACGCUGGCGGCGUGCAUAACACAUGCAAGUCUAACGGGAAAGUUGGCUUCGGCUGGCAAGUACCGUGGCGAACGGGUGAGUAACACGUGGGUAAUCUAACCUCGAGUUUGGGAUAACCUUGCGAAAGCGGGGCUAAUACCGAAUAAGACCACGCUUGGUUCGCCAAGUGCGGUAAAAGGUGGCCUCUUCUUGAAAGCUAUCACUUGAGGAUGAGCCCGCGGCCUAUUAGCUAGUUGGUGGGGUAAUGGCCUACCAAGGCGACGAUGGGUAGCCGGCCUGAGAGGGUGUACGGCCACACUGGCACUGAGAUACGGGCCAGACUCCUACGGGAGGCAGCAGUGGGGAAUUUUGCGCAAUGGGGGAAACCCUGACGCAGCAACGCCGCGUGAGUGAUGAAGGCCUUCGGGUCGUAAAGCUCUUUUAGUGGGGAAGAAUCCCACCCGGGCUAAUACCUCGGGUGUCUGACGGUACCCACAGAAAAAGUUCCGGCUAACUACGUGCCAGCAGCCGCGGUAAUACGUAGGGAGCAAGCGUUGUUCGGAAUUAUUGGGCGUAAAGAGCGCGUAGGCGGUUCGGUAAGUCUGAUGUGAAAUCCCAGAGCUUAACUCUGGAACUGCAUUGGAUACUGCCGAGCUUGAGUGUGGGAGAGGAGAGUGGAAUUCCCAGUGUAGAGGUGAAAUUCGUAGAUAUUGGGAGGAACACCCGUGGCGAAGGCGGCUCUCUGGACCACAACUGACGCUGAGGCGCGAAAGCUAGGGUAGCAAACGGGAUUAGAUACCCCGGUAGUCCUAGCCGUAAACGAUGGGCACUAGGUGUUGGAGGUAUCGACCCCUCCAGUGCCGCAGCUAACGCAUUAAGUGCCCCGCCUGGGGAGUACGGUCG
This 885-nucleotide ribosomal RNA is filed under the name uncultured bacterium. RNAcentral describes it as "bacterial SSU rRNA". It matches the Rfam family "Bacterial small subunit ribosomal RNA", at positions 30 to 888 of the family's 1533-position model. The record is from RNAcentral.